GACGUAGGAUGCAAGCGUUGUCCGGAAUUAUUGGGCGUAAAGCGUUCGUAGGCGGCACGUUAAGUUUAGUGUUAAAGCCCGGGGCUCAACUCCGGAUCGGCACUAGAUACUGGCGAGCUAGAGUGUGGUAGAGGCAAGGGGAAUUCCAGGUGUAGCGGUGAAAUGCGUAGAUAUCUGGAGGAACAUCGGUGGCGUAAGCGCCUUGCUGGGCCAUAACUGACGCUGAGGAACGAAAGCCAGGGGAGCAAAUGGG
Molecule: ribosomal RNA, 253 nt
Filed under: uncultured bacterium
Lineage: Bacteria
Description: partial 16S ribosomal RNA
Rfam family: Bacterial small subunit ribosomal RNA
Source: RNAcentral